CCCCCCGAUGGUCCCCCCCCGGUUUUUUGCCCGACCCCCCCAGUUUUCAUAGGAUAACAACCCUUCUCCCGUUCUCCCCCCCCAGGGGGUCCCUUAUCCCCUUUUAUUAUCCUCUUUAAGGGGCGCGGUCCCCCCGGGCACCUUGCCUUUUCCGUCUUAGGGGGGGGGUCUCCCCACCUUUGUAUUGGCUCGGGCCCCACUCCUUCGGGGGCGCCUUUGGGGAAUCUCCGCAAUUCCCUUAUUCCGUCGGUUUCAAUCCCCUUUGUGCACCUUACUUUUCGGCUCGUAGAGUUCCCUUUUCUUUUUGCCAACAACAUUAUAAACUUCCCACUCCCUCUCCCCUCCUUACCCGAGAGCCUCGCCUAAUACUUGCCAGCAGCCGCGGUAUUCGUAGGUGCCAAGCUUUGUCCGAAAUUAUGGGCGUAAAGGGCUCGCCGGCGGUUUCUUAAGUUGAUGUGAAAGCCCCCGGCUCAACCGGGGAGGGUCAUUGGAAACUGGGAAACUUGAGUGCAGAAGAGGAGAGUGGAAUUCCACGUGUAGCGGUGAAAUGCGUAGAGAUGUGGAGGAACACCAGUGGCGAAGGCGACUCUCUGGUCUGUAACUGACGCUGAGGAGCGAAAGCGUGGGGAGCGAACAGGAUUAGAUACCCUGGUAGUCCACGCCGUAAACGAUGAGUGCUAAGUGUUAGGGGGUUUCCGCCCCUUAGUGCUGCAGCUAACGCAUUAAGCACUCCGCCUGGGGAGUACGGUCGCAAGACUGAAACUCAAAGGAAUUGACGGGGGCCCGCACAAGCGGUGGAGCAUGUGGUUUAAUUCGAAGCAACGCGAAGAACCUUACCAGGUCUUGACAUCCUCUGACAACCCUAGAGAUAGGGCUUUCCCUUCGGGGACAGAGUGACAGGUGGUGCAUGGUGACGAGAGAUCGUAGAUGCCCCAAAAAC
This 940-nucleotide ribosomal RNA is filed under the name Bacillus sp. O6b. RNAcentral describes it as "partial 16S ribosomal RNA". The stretch from base 156 to 940 matches the Rfam family "Bacterial small subunit ribosomal RNA", at positions 1 to 1084 of the family's 1533-position model. Lineage: Bacteria; Bacillati; Bacillota; Bacilli; Caryophanales; Bacillaceae. The record is from RNAcentral.